UAAUACGGAAGGUGCGAGCGUUGCUCGGAAUCACUGGGCGUAAAGGGUGCGUAGGCGGCGGGGUCAGUCGGGUGUGAAAGCCCCGGGCUCAGCCCGGGAAGGGCACUCGAAACUGCCCUGCUAGAGUGCUGGAGGGGAGAGUGGAAUUCCUGGUGUAGCGGUGAAAUGCGUAGAGAUCAGGAGGAAUACCGGUGGCGAAAGCGACUCUCUGGACGGCAACUGACGCUGAGGCACGAAAGCGUGGGGAGCAAACAGGAUUAGAUACCCUGGUAGUCCACGCCGUAAACGAUGGGCACUAGGUGUCGGGGGUAUCCACUCCCUCGGUGCCGCCGCUAACGCAUUAAGUGUCCCGCCUGGGAAGUACGGUCGCAAGAUUAAAACUCAAAGGAAUUGACGG
Molecule: ribosomal RNA, 397 nt
Filed under: uncultured bacterium
Lineage: Bacteria
Description: bacterial SSU rRNA
Rfam family: Bacterial small subunit ribosomal RNA
Source: RNAcentral